Molecule: long non-coding RNA, 2713 nt
Filed under: Mytilus galloprovincialis (Mediterranean mussel)
Lineage: Eukaryota; Metazoa; Mollusca; Bivalvia; Mytilida; Mytilidae
Source: RNAcentral
GUUCAUUUUAUUAUACUGCAUUUAGAUACAUUAUGUAACAACCUUUACAAUAAACAUUUUCAAUCUAUGAACAUGUGUUGAAGUUUAUUGUAUGUUUGUUGGUUUGUCCAAAAAAAUAUCAAUACAAAUAUUACUUAAUUUGAUUGUGACUAACACGUAUUUUAUAAUAUUCGAUUUCAAAAAAAAGCAAUUAGUUUUUUGAAUGUAUAAAUACUUAGCAACAUACAUCUCACUAAUUUAUCCAAACGUUUUGUCAACAUGGUGCACAUUCAACUCUGUGUGUUUUUCCUGAUCGUAGGGCUGUGCUCUACUGUUGAUGGGUUCUGUUUUCUGCAGAAAACAACAGGUAAACUUUAAUUAUUCAUUUACCGAGUGUUCAUUUUCCAUUUUUCUUUUCCGUUUACCUGUUAAAACUGUUAAAACUUGUAAUUGUUGUACAACUCAUAUGUCACAUGAAUACUAAGGACAUUAAUUUAAUUUAAAUUUAAUUAAUUUCGCCAAUUAAAUAUAUACCUCUCUACAAGCACGAUUAUUCUUUAAAAGAAGCAACGUGUAUUUCACCAAACUUUCUUACGGACGCAGCUAAUCUCAUUCAUCAUAACAGUUUCAGUAUACCGGAUUUAAUAUGAUAACGGUCAAUUCAUCAAUUUUAUAUAAAUAUUAUAAAAGUGUUCUUCGUGUAGAUAAAUAAGAGUCCUGCAUUUGUUUUCUUUAAUAAUUAUUUUGAAAAUAAGAUUCUAACUUAACUUAUCACAAUCACGAUGCCACUUUCUUAUUGCAGAAUAAAUGAUUCAAAUUAUUUUUUUUUUAAUUGCAUUUUUUAUUUUCAAUGUAUCGGUAUAUGUCGGUUCAGUAUACGAUUUCAAAUGAUUCCUCGAGUAUUAUUAUAUGGUUAAAAUUCAUAACGGGUAGUAGAGUAAUUGAGUUGAACGUCACAGCAAUUGAUCAGAAAUGAUAGUCACAUUACUAUAUAUUAUGAUUUGAACAUCAACAUAUAUCCAAGAAUUACCUUCCAAGGUUAAAGUGCAGCUGAUAUUGGAAAUUAUUGGCAAUCGUACGGCCUUCUAAAAUGAGAAAAAAAACAUACAGUAUUAUCAGCUAUAACAGACACCAACAAACUACAAUCACUGAACUACAGGCUCCGAAUUGGUACGGUAGUUAAUUAAUUUAAAAGUUCUUAUAAAGAAUUUUCAGUGCAACGUUUUUUCAAUAUUUAUAGCUAUUGCUAUAAUUUCUAUCUUGAAAAUAAUUUAGGAUUAUUUGUUAGACGAUUUUUCAAUUAAACAUGGGGAAUGGUGAUAUACAGUGUUGAAAAAUAUUAAGAUUUGUUUAAAAUGACUUCAGAGAAAUAUUGAGUUUAAAAAACGAGGCAAAAGAUUUGGACCAACUUUCUGAAAUUUGGGUUUUACAUGCAUUUCAACUUCGUUAUUUGAGUUAGGCUUUAAUAUUACUUUGAGAUGAAUACUUUGUUUAUAAUGAUUGUAACAGUAAUUUGAUCAGUCGGGUUUUUUUCUUUUCUUUAGACUGUGUCUACAAAGGAAGAAUAAUAAAACAUAAAACCGAUUAUGAAUCUAUCAAAGAAUGCAUCAAAUGUAGCUGUUCGAAAGGAUCACUACAAUGCUGCUCGUAAGUUUUUUUUUUUCUAUGUAUCAUAUUGGUUUCAUUUUGACUAUAAUCAAUGAUACUUUGUAUAUGCGCUUUUCUGAUGUACUUAUUUGAUCUAAUUUUGUAAUGUCGAUUGAUUUCCGCGUAUAUGAUUUCGGAGUAUUUUCAAAAAUAUCAAACCUUAAAAAUGACUGACUUAAAACAUUCAUUUUCAUUUUCGAUUAACAUCUUUUUAAGAGCUAUAUUGUGGGAUAAAUGAAAUGUGGUAUUCAAUGUAAUUCUUUGGAUACCAAUUUUUAUGGGUUUCAUGGGUACAGGUGAACCACGAAUUUUAAUAAUAUAUUUUCAAUAUGAUAUUUUUGUCACACUGGUUUCAUUCAUGCUACUGUAUUUUACUACUGUGUAACACUAGAAUAGUUUAUUUCUCAUAAACCAUGUGUAACCAUAUAUUACAGAGAAGUUAAAAGCAUGCAUACAAAAUAUAAAUGAAUACAUAAAUAAAUAUAGUAAAAUAAAAAAAUACAAGAAUACAAAACAAGUAAAUAUAACUGUUUAAAGAAAUAGUUUAAGUGUUCAAAUAUGUUGAAAUUAUUGUAUUCUUCUGUUAUAUAUACUUUCUGUUGUACUUGUAUUUUUCAACAAUUUGUUUUUGAGCAUUUAAGAUCCCGGUAUUUUUUGAAAUAUCAAACUUAAGGAUUUAAUAUACAUUUGUUUUUUUUUUCAUUCAUUAUAUAUUUCCAGCUCAAUUCCACCCAUGUAUCAUUUCAUCACUAAUACAAUCACUAUAUGCACGAUAUACUUAACCAUCAAAUUAUUUUCACAUGUAAAACACUAGACAUUCUGUUUCAGGAUUGGCGGAUACAUCACAAUUCAUUCUGAUGAUUGUAAAAUUGUAUCUGACGGACCUUGUAAACAAAAGGCUGUCCUUACUGCUGAUGAAACAAAGCCUUGUCCACAAUUCUCCAUGGUUGGACGUUAAAUUCUAAUAAAACUACAUAUUUACUGAAUGAUGUCUGUAAAACUUCUACUAUUUUAAUCAAUAAAGAGCCACACACCUUUAGAUGGUUAUAUAUGUUAUUUUUGUAGGCAGUUUGUCCUUUUUGCAUAA